GUAGGGUGCGAGCGUUGUCCGGAUUUAUUGGGCGUAAAGAGCUCGUAGGCGGUUCGUCGCGUCUGUCGUGAAAGCCCGCGGCUCAACUGCGGGUCUGCGGUGGAUACGGGCGGACUGGAGUCCGACAGGGGAGACUGGAAUUCCUGGUGUAGCGGUGGAAUGCGCAGAUAUCAGGAGGAACACCGGUGGCGAAGGCGGGUCUCUGGGUCGGUACUGACGCUGAGGAGCGAAAGCGUGGGGAGCGAACAGGAUUAGAUACCCUGGUAGUCCACGCCGUAAACGUUGGGCGCUAGGUGUGGGGCAUGUUUCCACGUGUUCUGUGCCGUAGCUAACGCAUUAAGCGCCCCGCCUGGGGAGUACGGCCGCAAGGCUAAA
This 375-nucleotide ribosomal RNA is filed under the name uncultured bacterium. Its description in RNAcentral is "bacterial SSU rRNA". It matches the Rfam family "Bacterial small subunit ribosomal RNA", at positions 527 to 898 of the family's 1533-position model. The record is from RNAcentral.